Phoenix dactylifera (date palm) is the source of this 3180-nucleotide non-coding RNA. Lineage: Eukaryota; Viridiplantae; Streptophyta; Magnoliopsida; Arecales; Arecaceae. The record is from RefSeq and is a predicted model, not a curated record.
AUCCUUGAAGGAACCCCCUUCUAAAGGUAAGAGACCUGAUCUCUUUUACGGUUGAGAUAUAAUCUCAAUCUUCAAAUCACAAGAAAUUGUGAUUUAUGCAUAUUUAUUCGAAUCACACAAUCCUCGAGAUCUGAGGGCUUUGUGAUAUUUGGUGUCAAAGCAAAGGAUUAGUGGAGACUAUCCAAUUCCCGGAAACUCUCACGCGUGAUCGUGUGACGAAGCGUGGCUCUCCACCCGGGGGCUCAUAUGAUGAGUGCUUUGAUAGGCACGUGCGGGUGUCACCCUAUGUAUUGGGACUGAGCCCGUACCACAUGUGAUGUGCAGUUGAAGAUUGUCUUCGACUGGUACCAGAGUUAAAAUAUCUAAAAUAUCAAGCAUGUUAUGGGUUAAAAUGUUUAACCCAUUCUUUCCGCAUAAAAAUUUCUGAAAUUCAUGCUUAGCCCUCUGCAUGCUUACUAUCAGUGGUAUCAAAGCUCGUCCAGGUUCUUUGUGAUAUCAAAUAUCUAUGCAAAAUGUGAUCUUUUACAUAUGAUGUAAACUGAUUAUAUUAUUUUAUGAUGCUAUUCAUAUGAUGAAUAGACAUGUUUGUAUGCAUGUGGAAACCAUUUAACUUGAACAUUAGAAGGGGUUUUAAUGAUUCAAAGUUGUAAUGCAUGCAAAACCAAGAUAAGACAUGAAUAAUGCAAUACACUUAAUUGUGAAUUAAGUAUUGAUGUAGAUCUUAGAUUUUAAAUGUGAUUUAAACAUUUAAGACAUUGCAUAAAUAAUGGGGAUAAUGGGUUAUCUAAUCAAAUCUGGUUGGGUUAGACCCAAUGGUCAAAAUCAAAAUAUGGAACAAUAAGUGGUCAAAUCUAAUUUAAAAUGUUUACUUUGGAUUCGAUCAAGGUAACUCUAUGUAGAUCUUAGAUUUUAAAUGUGAUUUAAACAUUUAAGACAUUGCAUAAAUAAUGGGGAUAAUGGGUUAUCUAAUCAAAUCUGGUUGGGUUAGACCCAAUGGUCAAAAUCAAAAUAUGGAACAAUAAGUGGUCAAAUCUAAUUUAAAAUGUUUACUUUGGAUUCGAUCAAGGUAACUCUUGAUCUUUGCAAUAGUUGUAGUUGAUCAAGUCCAUGUCUCUUGAUAAGACCAAAUGGAUGUUGAUUUGGGCUCCGCAGUUGAGCACUGAGUUAUGAUAUUGAUCGAAUUGAAAUUGAUGAACCAGUUGGUGUCUAAGGCAACUGUUAUCAGCAGGUUUUUAAUUGGGAGCUACUUGCUGGGUUUCGGUCCAGUCAAGUUAAUGGCAUACCCUUCCACUGAUCUCACUUACCUGGCCAUCUUGGUGAAUCUCUUUUGAUCAGAUCUCUGAUUGACUCUAAUUGACCCAUGCCUGUAAGGAAAUCGGUCGGACCGAUUUAGGUGCACUGACUCAAACCUGUUCUUAUUAACCUCUGAUUUGAAGAAGUCAGUGGGAGGAUCAAGGUUAGUCAGUUUUUCGUGUUUCAUACAAAUCCUCUAAAUUAUCAGGUUCUUAAAAAUGGUGCGGUUAAUGGAAGAUGAUCGUGUCAUAGCCUCCCAUUGCGUUGAAAUGAUAAUGAGUCCAAUAUGUUUAUGAUCAUUGGAGGCGAUACACGCCUGGUGCUCAUCGGCUAUUGGGAUUGUCACUCAAUUAAUGUUGAAUCGGUUGCAUCCAUUGAAUAGGUGGUCAGGUGAGCCGAGACACACUCGGGCUUGGUCAUCUAUUAAUGUGAUAAACUUAUUGCAGCAAGUUGAUGGUUGGACCUGACCAGGUUUUUCAGUGGAGGUGACACACACCUGCUGAAGUGGCCUGUGGCAAAAGGAUAAUACUGGGAGUUGUUUGGUGAAGCAAUUGGUUAUGAACCUACCCUUAGAAACAGAUGGGUUAGCCGAGACACACUCGGGCCCAUCUGUAGUCUAUGUGGAUUCCAGUACCCACUAAAGAAUUAGGAGUAAUUCUUCGGAUUAAAGUAGAGGCUAUUGUUUUGUACAAAAUGGUGGGAGGACCUUUGGACUAAAAUCCAAAUUUCUUGAUUAUAUUGAUUCAUUUACUGAUUAGGCUUUGUUGUCAUUCUUUGCAGAAAUGGCCACUCAAUUGUCACUUAGGUCAUUGUUAGAUAAUGAUAAGUUGACCGGUCCCAACUUUUCAAUCUGGCUUAGAAAGCUUAAGAUCGUCCUAGAACACGAGAGGACCAUGUAUAUAAUUACUGAUCCGGCACCUGAAUUGCCUCCUGCUAAUGCACGGGUAGCAGUCCGUGACGCUUACCAGAAAUGGACGAGUGAUCGGAUCACUGUCCGGUGCAUUAUGCUAGCGGCAAUGAGCGACGAAUUCUCGCGGAGAUUCGAGAGUGCUCAGCCGAACGAGAUCAUUCAAGUGUUGAAUGAAUCGUUUGGUGUCCCUGAUGAUGAUAAAAGGUAUAGUACUAGUUGCUGUAUCUUCAACGCCAAACUCAGGGAAGGGGCCUCUGUUACGGACCAUGUACUUUACAUGAUCGAGUUGAUAGAGCGCCUGAGCAAACUCGGCUUUUCCCUGCAUGAACAAUUGGGAAAGGACGCGAUUUUGAAUUCCCUGCCUGAUUCCUACCGACCAUUCCUCACUCAUUAUAGAAUGACAAAGCCUGUACUCAACUUCCAUGGUCUUUUGGGGUUGUUGCAGAACUUUGAGAAAGAUAACCAGCUCAGGAAAGGGCCGGUUAAUGUGGUUGGUGGUGGGGCAGGACGCCGUCCCUUUGGGAAAGGGAAAAACAAAAAUAAAAUUAAAAAUAAAAAUAAAAGGAAGAGAAAGGUGCUAAGUGUCGGGACAUCUUGUCAGAUGAUAAGAAAGCGGGCUGACCCUAGAAAGGCGGUGUGCUACCACUGUCAGAAACUGGGACACUGGAAAAGGAACUGUCCUCUGUAAGUAGCCACCCUUGAUCCAAACAGGCCUAGGAGAAAUGAGCAAACAGUUGCUGGGCAAGGGACUGCAUGUCAAUAAGAGAUUUGAGGAUAAUGAGAGGUUCCUGAAUGUUGGAGAUGGAAGGACUGUUCCAGUUCUAGCAUUGGGAGAUCUUAAGUUAGUUUUCAAUUCUCAUGUAAUCGCCUUAAGUGACUGUCACUUUUGUCCGUCGUUCUUAAUGAACGUCAUUUCUGUAGGGCUUUUAGCCCAAAACGGUUAUGAAAUAUCAAUAAAGAAUCGUUCUUGUAAUAUC